This is a long non-coding RNA of Acanthochromis polyacanthus (spiny chromis), 1147 nucleotides long. RefSeq lists it as uncharacterized. NCBI's taxonomy places the organism in Eukaryota, Metazoa, Chordata, Actinopteri, Pomacentridae. The transcript is spliced from 2 exons. The record is from RefSeq and is a predicted model, not a curated record.
UUUGCCAAAAUCAAAAGAGUUCAUUUUAUUUCUCAUUAAUGUACACUCAGCACCCCAUCUUGACAGAAAAAAACAGAAAUGUAGAAUUUUUUGCAAAUUUAUUAAAAAAGAAAAACUGAAAUAUCACAUGGUCAUAAGUAUUCAGACCCUUUGCAGUGACAUUCAUAUUUAACUCACAUGCUGUCCAUUUCUUCUGAUCCUCCUCGAGAUGGUUCUGCUUCUUUAUUGGAGUCCAGCUGUGUUUAAUUAAACUGAUUGGACUUGAUUAGGAAAGGCACACACCUGUCUAUAUAAGACCUUACAGCUCACAGUGCAUGUCAGAGCAAAUGAGAAUCAUGAGGUCGAAGGAACUGCCCACGGAGCUCAGAGACAGAAUUGUGGCAAGGCACAGAUCUGGCCAAGGUUACAAAAGAAUUUCUGCAGCACUCAAGGUUCCUAAGAGCACAGUGGCCUCCAUAAUCCUCAAAUGGAAGAAGUUUGGGACGACCACAACUCUUCCUAGACCUGGCCGUCCAGCCAAACUGAGCAAUGGUGGGAGAAGAGCCUUGGUGAGAGAGGUAAAGAAGAACCCAAAGAUCACUGUGGCUGAGCUCCAGAGAUGUAGUCGGGAGAUAGGAGAAAGUUCCACAAAGACUCCCAGACUAUGAGAAAUAAGAUUCUCUGGUCUGAUGAGACCAAGAUUGAACUUUUUGGUGUUAAUUCUAAGCGGUAUGUGUGGAGAAAACCAGGCACUGCUCAUCACCUGUCCAAUACAAUCCCUACAGUGAAACAUGGGGGUGGGAGCAUCAUGUUGUGGGGGUGUUUUUCAGCUGCAGGGACAGGACGACUGGUUGCAAUUGAAGGAAGGAUGAAUGUGGCCAAGUACAGAGAUAUCCUGGAGGAAAACCUCUUCCAGAGUGCUCAGGACCUCAGACUGGGCCCAAGGUUCACCUUUCAACAGGACGACCCUAAGCACACAGCUAAAAUAACAAAGGAGUGGCUUCAGAACAACUCUGUGACCGUUCUUGACUGGCCCAGCCAGAGCCCUGACCUAAACCCAAUUGAGCAUCUCUGGAGAGACCUCAAAAUGUCUGUCCACCAACGUUCACCAUCCAACCUGACAGAACUGGAGAGGAUCUGCAAGGAAGAAUGGCAGAGGAUCCCCAAA